GACGAACGCUGGCGGCGUGCUUAACACAUGCAAGUCGAACGGAAAGGCCCUGCUUUUGUGGGGUGCUCGAGUGGCGAACGGGUGAGUAACACGUGAGUAACCUGCCCUUGACUUUGGGAUAACUUCAGGAAACUGGGGCUAAUACCGGAUAGGAGCUCCUGCUGCAUGGUGGGGGUUGGAAAGUUUCGGCGGUUGGGGAUGGACUCGCGGCUUAUCAGCUUGUUGGUGGGGUAGGGGCUGACCAAGGCUUUGACGGGUAGCCGGCCGGAGAGGGUGACCGGCCACAUUGGGCCUGAGAUACGGCCCAGACUCCUACGGGAGGCAGCAGUGGGGAAUAUUGCACAAUGGGCGGAAGCCUGAUGCAGCAACGCCGCGUGCGUGAUGACGGCCUUCGGGUUGUAAACCGCUUUCGCCUGUGACGCAGCGUGAGUGACGGUAAUGGGUAAAGAAGCACCGGCUAACUACGUG
RNAcentral lists this ribosomal RNA (468 nucleotides) under uncultured bacterium. RNAcentral describes it as "partial 16S ribosomal RNA". It matches the Rfam family "Bacterial small subunit ribosomal RNA", at positions 28 to 507 of the family's 1533-position model. The record is from RNAcentral.